RNAcentral lists this ribosomal RNA (472 nucleotides) under uncultured bacterium. RNAcentral's name for it is "bacterial SSU rRNA". It matches the Rfam family "Bacterial small subunit ribosomal RNA", at positions 10 to 526 of the family's 1533-position model. The record is from RNAcentral.
AGUUUGAUCCUGGCUCAGAACGAACGCUGGCGGCAGGCUUAACACAUGCAAGUCGAACGCUCGUAGCAAUACGGGAGUGGCAGACGGGUGAGUAACGCGUGGGAACAUACCCUCCGGUUCGGAAUAGCUCAGGGAAACUUGGAUUAAUACCGGAUACGGCUGAGAGGCAAAAGAUUUAUCGCCGGAGGAUUGGCUCGCGUUCGAUUAGCUAGUUGGUGAGGUAAUGGCUCACCAAGGCUAUGAUCGAUAGCUGGUCUGAGAGGAUGAUCAGCCACAUUGGGACUGAGACACGGCCCAAACUCCUACGGGAGGCAGCAGUGGGGAAUAUUGGACAAUGGGCGCAAGCCUGAUCCAGCCAUGCCGCGUGGAUGAUGAAGGCCCUAGGGUUGUAAAGUCCUUUUAACGGGGAAGAUAAUGACGGUACCCGUAGAAUAAGCCCCGGCUAACUUCGUGCCAGCAGCCGCGGUUAGCU